AUAUUAAAGUUGUUGCAGUUAAAAAGCUCGUAGUUGGAGUUCAGAUUGAGCUCGGCCGGUCGGCCUAAUUGGUCAGAACUGGUUGACUCUGUCUUGUUUGUGGAUCCCUCCGGAGUUAACUCUUCGGAUGUGGAGUCCACAUCGUUUACCUUGAAAAAAUUAGAGUGUUCAAAGCAGGCGUUUGCUUGAAUAUAUUAGCAUGGAAUAAUGGAAUAGGACGCUGGUUCUAUUUUGUUGGUUUUGAGAACCAGAGUAAUGAUUAAUAGGGACAGUUGGGGGCAUUCAUAUUUCAUUGUCAGAGGUGAAAUUCUUGGAUUUAUGAAAGAUGAACUUCUGCGAAAGCAUUUGCCAAGGAUGUUUUCAUUAAUCAAGAACGAAAGUUAGGGGAUCGAAGACGAUCAGAUACCGUCGUAGUCUUAACCAUAAACUAUGCCGACUAGGGAUUGGACGUGGUUUGUUCAUUGACCCGUUCAGCACCUUACGAGAAAUCAAAGUCUUUGGGUUCCGGGGGGAGUAUGGUCGCAAGGCUGAAACCUAAAGGAAU
This 544-nucleotide ribosomal RNA is filed under the name uncultured eukaryote. RNAcentral's name for it is "SSU rRNA". It matches the Rfam family "Eukaryotic small subunit ribosomal RNA", at positions 601 to 1153 of the family's 1831-position model. The record is from RNAcentral.